Molecule: ribosomal RNA, 460 nt
Filed under: uncultured bacterium
Lineage: Bacteria
Description: partial 16S ribosomal RNA
Rfam family: Bacterial small subunit ribosomal RNA
Source: RNAcentral
CCUACGGGGGGCAGCAGUGAGGAAUAUUGGUCAAUGGCCGUAAGCCUGAACCAGCCAAGUCGCGUGAAGGAUGAAGGAUCUAUGGGUUGUAAACUUCUUUUAUAAGGGAAUAAAGGUAUCCACGUGUGGAUAUUUGCAUGUACCUUAUGAAUAAGCAUCGGCUAACUCCGUGCCAGCAGCCGCGGUAAUACGGAGGAUGCGAGCGUUAUCCGGAUUUAUUGGGUUUAAAGGGUGCGUAGGUUGUUUUUUAAGUCAGUGGUGAAAGUUUGUGGCUCAACCAUAAAAUUGCCGUUGAAACUGGCAGACUUGAGUAUAUUUGAGGUAGGCGGAAUGCGUGGUGUAGCGGUGAAAUGCAUAGAUAUCACGAAGAACUCCGAUUGCGAAGGCAGGUUACUAAGCCAUCACUGACAUUGAAGCACGAAAGUGUGGGGAUCAAACAGGAUUAGAUACCCGAGUAGUC